RNAcentral lists this unclassified non-coding RNA (226 nucleotides) under Hevea brasiliensis (rubber tree). Lineage: Eukaryota; Viridiplantae; Streptophyta; Magnoliopsida; Malpighiales; Euphorbiaceae. The record is from RNAcentral.
GUUUUUUUUUAUUGUCAAUAUUACUAUUAUUAUCAUUAUUAUCCUUGUUAUUACUAUCAUUAUUACCGGAACUAUUACCACCAUUAUAUGGUGAUCAUCGCCGCCACUAGACCAUAUCUGUCAUUACUUAACUACUAUCACCUUUACUAUUAUUAUCUCACUUUAUUAUCAUCGUUUAAUCAUCAUUGUCACUACAAUCACUACUAUUAUUAUUACUUGAUCGCUA